RNAcentral lists this ribosomal RNA (269 nucleotides) under uncultured prokaryote. RNAcentral describes it as "partial 16S ribosomal RNA". It matches the Rfam family "Archaeal small subunit ribosomal RNA", at positions 474 to 743 of the family's 1478-position model. The record is from RNAcentral.
AACCAGCUCUUCGAGUUGUGUCCACAAUUAUUGAGCUUAAAGCGUCCGUAGCUUGUUUAGUAGGUCCCUGCUUAAAUCCGGCCGCCUAACGGUCGGUCUGGUAGGGAUACCACUUUACUUGAGAGCGGGAGACGGCGACGGUAUUCCAUAGGUAGGGGUGAAAUCCUAUGAUCUAUGGAGGACCACCAGUGGCGAAGGCGGUCGUCGAGAACGCGUCUGACAGUGAGGGACGAAACCCAGGGGAGCGAAUCGGAUUAGAUACCCCCGUA